This 367-nucleotide long non-coding RNA is filed under the name Fukomys damarensis (Damara mole-rat). Its description in RNAcentral is "lncRNA (ENSFDAG00000030173.1)". The record is from RNAcentral. Lineage: Eukaryota; Metazoa; Chordata; Mammalia; Rodentia; Bathyergidae.
GCUACAUCAGAGCCACGUUUGCUUCUCUGCUUGGAUAGGUUUGCAUUUAUCAGAGGGAACAUUUUUUUUUGCCCUCUUUAAGAUGUCACCAGAUCAUACUCGGAGUGGCUCUUGAUUAGACAUUUCCUGUCUUGGUGGUUUAUCUGCGCAGUGAUUAAACAGGACUGUCUGAAGAGAGGGCUGCACCAAAUGUCACUUUCAGCUCUGAAACUCCUGAUCUGAUGACACUGUGUGGCCGGAAACGAGGGCGCCACGGAGAAGGGAGGAGGUGAAUGUGCUUCGGACAUCGGUCACGUACCAGGGCUGAGGUCUAUCACUGGACCCAGGAGGCCGAGAACAGCAGCGGGGGCAGAAUGACACUUAAGAA